CCUACGGGGGGCAGCAGGCGCGAAAACUUUACAAUGCGGGAAACCGUGAUAAGGGGACACCGAGUGCCAGCGUCAUACGCUGGCUGUCCGGGUGUGUAAAAUACACCUGUUAGCAAGGGCCGGGCAAGACCGGUGCCAGCCGCCGCGGUAACACCGGCGGCCCGAGUGGUGAUCGUGAUUAUUGGGUCUAAAGGGUCCGUAGCCGGUUUGGUCAGUCCUCCGGGAAAUCUGAUAGCUUAACUAUUAGGCUUUCGGGGGAUACUGCCAGACUUGGAACCGGGAGAGGUAAGAGGUACUACAG
Molecule: ribosomal RNA, 301 nt
Filed under: uncultured Methanomicrobia archaeon
Lineage: Archaea; Methanobacteriati; Methanobacteriota; Methanomicrobia
Description: bacterial SSU rRNA
Rfam family: Archaeal small subunit ribosomal RNA
Source: RNAcentral